This 263-nucleotide ribosomal RNA is filed under the name uncultured bacterium. Its description in RNAcentral is "partial 16S ribosomal RNA". It matches the Rfam family "Bacterial small subunit ribosomal RNA", at positions 793 to 1055 of the family's 1533-position model. The record is from RNAcentral.
GUCCACGCCGUAACGAUGAAUGCUAGCCGUCGGUGAGCAUGCUCUUCGGUGGCGCAGCCAACGCAAUAAGCAUUCCGCCUGGGAGUACGAUCGCAAGAUUAAAACUCAAAGGAAUUGACGGGGCCCGCACAAGCGGUGGAGCAUGUGGUUCAAUUCGAAGCAACGCGAAGAACCUUACCAGGCCUUGACAUCCCGGUCGCGGCCCCUUGAAAGAGGGGCUUUCAGUUCGGCUGGACCGGUGACAGGUGCUGCAUGGCUGUCGU